CGAAGGGUGCAAGCGUUACUCGGAAUUACUGGGCGUAAAGCGUGCGUAGGCGGUUUGUUAAGUCUGAUGUGAAAAUCCCCCGGGCGUCAACCUGGGACCGUGCAUUGGAAACUGGCGAGCUAGAGUACGGUAGAGGGUGGUGGAAUUCCCGGUGUAGCAGUGAAAUAGCGUAGAGAUCGGGAGGAACACUCGUGGCGAAGGCGGCCACCUGGACCAGUACUGACGCUGAGGCACGAAAGCGUGGGGAGCAAACAGGAUU
RNAcentral lists this ribosomal RNA (259 nucleotides) under uncultured bacterium. RNAcentral describes it as "partial 16S ribosomal RNA". It matches the Rfam family "Bacterial small subunit ribosomal RNA", at positions 526 to 779 of the family's 1533-position model. The record is from RNAcentral.